RNAcentral lists this transfer RNA (73 nucleotides) under Tauraco erythrolophus (red-crested turaco). It matches the Rfam family "tRNA". Rfam says of the family: Transfer RNA (tRNA) molecules are approximately 80 nucleotides in length. Their secondary structure includes four short double-helical elements and three loops (D, anti-codon, and T loops). Further hydrogen bonds mediate the characteristic L-shaped molecular structure. tRNAs have two regions of fundamental functional importance: the anti-codon, which is responsible for specific mRNA codon recognition, and the 3' end, to which the tRNAs corresponding amino acid is attached (by aminoacyl-tRNA synthetases). tRNAs cope with the degeneracy of the genetic code in two manners: having more than one tRNA (with a specific anti-codon) for a particular amino acid; and 'wobble' base-pairing, i.e. permitting non-standard base-pairing at the 3rd anti-codon position. Lineage: Eukaryota; Metazoa; Chordata; Aves; Musophagiformes; Musophagidae. The record is from Rfam by way of RNAcentral.
GGGGAAUUAGCUCAAGUGGUAGCGCGUUCGCUUAGCAUGUGAGAGGCAGCGGGAUCAAUGCCCGCAUUCUCCA